GAUGAAGAACGCAGCAAAAUGCGAUAAGUAAUGUGAAUUGCAGAAUUCAGUGAAUCAUCGAAUCUUUGAACGCACAUUGCGCCCUUUGGUAUUCCGAAGGGCAUGCCUGUUCGAGCGUCAUUUCACCACUCAAGCCUGGCUUGGUAUUGGGCGCCGCGGUCGAUCCGCGCGCCUCAAAGUCUCCGGCUGAGCUGUCCGUCUCUAAGCGUUGUGAUUUCAUUAAUCGCUUCGGAGUGCGGGCGGCCGCGGCCGUUAAAUCUUUCACAAGGUUGACCUCGGAUCAGGUAGGGAUACCCGCUGAACUUAAGCAUAUCAAUAAGCGGAGGA
Molecule: unclassified non-coding RNA, 327 nt
Filed under: soil metagenome
Description: partial contains 5.8S ribosomal RNA, internal transcribed spacer 2, and large subunit ribosomal RNA
Rfam family: 5.8S ribosomal RNA (bases 1-120)
Source: RNAcentral